Molecule: long non-coding RNA, 842 nt
Filed under: Homo sapiens (human)
Lineage: Eukaryota; Metazoa; Chordata; Mammalia; Primates; Hominidae
Description: HSALNT0093681
Source: RNAcentral
AAGGAGUCAAAGGGAAACAUGAUGUUACCUUCCUUUUAAGGGCACAUUCCAGAAGUUGCACACACCACUUACGUCCACAUCCCUUUGACCAGCUCAUUAGUUAUACAACUUAACUGGGUGCCCCUGACUCAGGGUCUCUCAGAAGGCUGCAAUCAAGGUAUUGACCAGGCCAUAAAUGCAAACAAAUAAAUUCCUAUUACUAUAAAAGUGUGGGCCAACCCUUAAUCAGUGACAUUACUAAGAACUGUGAAAUGUUUACACAUUUGACCCUUCAACAGCAUGGGUUUGAACUUUGUGGAUCCACUUAAUUUUGGAUUUUCUUCUGCCUCUGCUACCCCGAGACAGCAAGACCAACUCCUCUUCUUCCUCCUCCUCCUCUACCUAUCCAACAUGACGAUGAUGAGGAUGAAGAACUUUAUGACAAUCUACUUGCACUUAAUAAAUAGUAAAUAUAUUUUCUCUUCUUUACAAUUUUCUUAAUAACAUUUUCUUUUCUCUAGCUUACUUGAUUGUAAGAAUACAAUAUAUAAUACAUAUACAAAAUGUGUGUUAAUCACCUGUUACGUUAUUGAUAAGGCUUCUGGUCAGCAGGAGGCAAUUCGUAGUUAAGUUUUUGGGGAGUCACAACUUAUAUGCUAAUUUUGUAUUGUGGGGGAGGGAGGUCAGGGCUCCUAAUCCCUGCACUGUCCAAGUAUCCAUUGUAUAGCGCAACUCCUAUGUCUCAGUGCCUGAAUGGCAGUGGAGUGCUUCAGACUAAUGCAUCCUUUGAUAAUAACUGUUUCUUCUUCUUCUUCUUCUUCUUCUUUUUCUUCUUCUUCUUCUUCUUCUUCUUCUUCUUCUUC